CAAACAACGGCCAGAUUUUCUUGGUCUCCCUGCCUAUUCCUUCCGCUCCAACACAUUUCUGGAAAACCAGACUUCUCUAACUUUUCAACUGCGGCGUUUAAGUAAAUGCAGACAGUAGGAUUUGCUCCCAGCCCCGUCAUCCGCCAGCAACAGCCUUUCCCUUCCUUGUCCAACCUGCCCAGUCGCCAAGCCGACAGCUCCUCGGGGAGCGACCCCGGAAGAGGGAAGGUGACCCCUGGACCCCUUCCUUACCUUCCACUCCGAAAGCUCUGGGAGGCUCUUGCUCUAAGACACCAGCACAGGCACGCGUCCCAGCAACAGUGACGGAGAGACUCCCCUUCGGUCCCAAUCACCGUUGCCCAUUUUCCUCGGCUCAGCUUCGAAAAUCAGGAUUUAUUUUUUUAAAUGCACACAUACGAGAAGCAAUUCACGGGGAAAAAAAUAUAUAGGGUGCGGGGGUGUGGAAGAAAAAAGCCUCCAGGAUCUCGGAGCCUGGCGCCGUAUUCAGCUGAAUCCAACUGGGGAAGGUGGGAGCCCCCCGAAGAGGAUUCUGAGGAACCAAAAAAAAAAAAGGAAGUGGCUUAACAGCGAGGAUUUGUUUUACCAAAUCUGCCCCUCACCAACAAACGACUAGCCAAGAAGCAAAGAAAGCGCUGAGACGAGAAGUGACCGGCGGCGGCAGCGGCUGCUAAGGGCAGAUUUGUUGGGGCGGUGGGCUUAUUACAGGAGUAUUCGUGGUCGGGUCCGAGGCUGAAGCUUAUGCUUUUUCCUCUUUGCGCUUUCCUCCCUCCUCCUUCUCCUCCCCCCAGCAGGUACUGAUGGACGCACGGCGACUAAGGAGAGGGGGGCAAAAAAUCCUUGGCUGGUGAUGUCGGAAAGCUGUUUGAAUGCCCAGCGAGGAGGGAGGCGCGCGAGAGAGCGAGAUAGUAAAGCUCUGUCUCGGGUGUGCGCGACGACGCGCGUCGCUCGCUCUCCCAGAGGCGCGCGUGCCCGGCCAGCAAGCUCCCCCCGCAGCGUGCUCGUGAGCGCGCGCGUCCCCGUGCGCUGCGCGCCGCGCGCCCCGAGCCCGCCCGGGUGCGCCCGCUGGCCGUCGGGAGACUCGCGCGGCUCGGCGGCCGCGCCGACCCGGAGUUCUGCCUCCCGAGGGCGCGGGCGCACAGACCUGUCGCCGCUGGAGAGCUGUCAUUUCAGCACCGGGAUUCGGAGGAAUUGAUCCAGUCCGUAGCGGAGGGGCCACCUCUCAGCUCUAGAACUGGCUGGAACAAUAGUAGUUUUUUGUUUCCUUUUUUUUUUUUUUUUUUUUCCCAGCGAGGCUUAACAUCUUAUUUGUUCUGGCUAAAUACAAGCUUUGUCAAGACCGCGGUGCGGCGACCAAGGUUGGGCAUCUUGCAUUGCUUUCUGCCUGGCAAUGGGAUCGUGAUUGUGGGGUCUGAACUUUUUUCGUCGUUGUUGUUUUUGCAAUGUAUCCGAUUCUUUUUCAAGUUUCCCUGGUAACAGGUUUGGGGAUGGGGUGAGAAGGACCGAAGAAAAGGAGAAGCUAUCAGAUCCUCAAGAGGAGAGGAGGGAGGGGGGAAGGAGAUAAAUCACACACCUCCUUUAAUUAUUUUCUCCUCCUGGACAAUUGAAAUAUUUGAUGAACUAGUUCCAGAUACAUACCGCAAAGGUCAUUCGCCUCCUGAUUAUGUCUCUACUUGUAAAUGCAGUCUGUGGUGUACAAAACAAGUGCUAAAAUAGUGCAGUGAUGUGGUGGGAGGAGACCAUAACGGGUAUUUCAAGUGAAGUGUCGAAGUCUUCCUAAGGGCGAGUUGCUUGAGCGGCAGGUGGAGUUGAAUAAAAGCAAUUUUCCAUCAUUUUCCCUCUGUACUCUUUCUGCAUUUUUUUCUCCCUC
Dasypus novemcinctus (nine-banded armadillo) is the source of this 1888-nucleotide long non-coding RNA. The record is from Ensembl. Lineage: Eukaryota; Metazoa; Chordata; Mammalia; Cingulata; Dasypodidae.